AGAUUCUAGUAGUAUGAUGAUUCAAGGACAAUCACAAUGAAGAAACAGUAAAACAAUUCACUUGGAAAUAGCUCUGCCAACAUAACAUCAUCAUACUACUAGAAUCUCACAUGUAUCAAUCUCACAAUUUCAAGGAACAUGUCUUCCAUGAAUAAUCACGCUUGAACUUUUAAAAAAAGGGAAGAAGAAGUAAAUAAUGGUCGUUAGUUCCUUGAUUGUCACAAAAACAAUUGAAAGUUAAGCAUUCACGACCUGAACAGAAUUUUAAAAAAUUAAAAUAAAAAGCAAUGAAGUCACUUAACCUAGUGAUAAAUCAACUACUGAAAACUCAUAAUAGGAGUAGUGGACCAAGCUACUUCUCCGAACAAAAACAAAUA
RNAcentral lists this unclassified non-coding RNA (377 nucleotides) under Hevea brasiliensis (rubber tree). Lineage: Eukaryota; Viridiplantae; Streptophyta; Magnoliopsida; Malpighiales; Euphorbiaceae. The record is from RNAcentral.